AUUUAAUAAUAAAUUAUAAAAUUGGAAGGAUACAGAGAAGAUUAGUAUGUCUCAUGCGCAAAAAUUACACCCAUAAAUCGAGAUAUGGUCCAAAUUAUU
RNAcentral lists this small nuclear RNA (99 nucleotides) under Erythranthe guttata (spotted monkey flower). Lineage: Eukaryota; Viridiplantae; Streptophyta; Magnoliopsida; Lamiales; Phrymaceae. The record is from RNAcentral.